This 466-nucleotide ribosomal RNA is filed under the name uncultured bacterium. RNAcentral describes it as "partial 16S ribosomal RNA". It matches the Rfam family "Bacterial small subunit ribosomal RNA", at positions 28 to 507 of the family's 1533-position model. The record is from RNAcentral.
GAUGAACGCUGGCGGCGUGCUUAACACAUGCAAGUCGAACGAUGAAGCCCAGCUUGCUGGGUGGAUUAGUGGCGAACGGGUGAGUAACACGUGAGUAACCUGCCCUUAACUCUGGGAUAAGCCUGGGAAACUGGGUCUAAUACCGGAUAGGAGCGUCCACCGCAUGGUGGGUGUUGGAAAGAUUUAUCGGUUUUGGAUGGACUCGCGGCCUAUCAGCUUGUUGGUGAGGUAAUGGCUCACCAAGGCGACGACGGGUAGCCGGCCUGAGAGGGUGACCGGCCACACUGGGACUGAGACACGGCCCAGACUCCUACGGGAGGCAGCCGUGGGGCCUAUUGCCCAAUGGGCGCAAGCCUGAUGCAGCGACGCCGCGUGAGGGAUGACGGCCUUCGGGUUGUAAACCUCUUUCAGUAGGGAAGAAGCGAAAGUGACGGUACCUGCAGAAGAAGCACCGGCUCACUACGUG